RNAcentral lists this transfer RNA (69 nucleotides) under Euspira pila. RNAcentral describes it as "tRNA-Lys". The record is from RNAcentral. Lineage: Eukaryota; Metazoa; Mollusca; Gastropoda; Littorinimorpha; Naticidae.
AUUUAACUCUUAGAUGACUGAGAUUAAGUGUUAGAUUUUUAAUCUAACGACGGCAUAAGAAUGAUGCCU